Molecule: long non-coding RNA, 308 nt
Organism: Marmota flaviventris (yellow-bellied marmot)
Lineage: Eukaryota; Metazoa; Chordata; Mammalia; Rodentia; Sciuridae
Source: RefSeq, a predicted model, not a curated record
UAACAGAAGCAGGACCAUGAGAGCAGCUCCCAUCAGUGGGCUAAGGAGAUUAUGUGGAUUCGUUCAUUUAAUUCUCACAAGAAGCCAGCAGCUGCAUCCUGAGGAGCAGCAGUGUCAUUCCAGUGUCCACACACCAAGGAGCCAAAGACUCACCCUGCCUGCAAACAGGACAGUCUCCUGAUGAAGGUGAGAUGAGCCACGAAGGAUGAGAACUUCCCAUUGCACUUGCCUGAGAUCCAAACUUCUUAUCUGGGAGCACAAAGCCAGUCUGCCACCCUUCUAGCAGGAGGGUAUGGCCUGUCUCUCAA